CCUACGGGGAGCAGCAGUGGGGAAUAUUGCACAAUGGGGGGAACCCUGAUGCAGCGACGCCGCGUGAGUGAAGAAGUAUUUCGGUAUGUAAAGCUCUAUCAGCAGGGAAGAAAAUGACGGUACCUGACUAAGAAGCCCCGGCUAACUACGUGCCAGCAGCCGCGGUAAUACGUAGGGGGCAAGCGUUAUCCGGAUUUACUGGGUGUCAAGGGAGCGCAGACGGCUGUGCAAGUCUGGAGUGAAAGGCGGGGGCCCAACCCCCGGACUGCUCUGGAAACUGUAAAGCUGGAGUGCAGGAGAGGUAAGCGGAAUUCCUAGUGUAGCGGUGAAAUGCGUAGAUAUUAGGAGGAACACCAGUGGCGAAGGCAGCUUGCUGCAGCGGAACUGACGCUGAUGCUCGAAAGCGCGGGUAUCGAACAGGAUUAGAUACCCUUGUAGUC
RNAcentral lists this ribosomal RNA (440 nucleotides) under uncultured bacterium. RNAcentral's name for it is "partial 16S ribosomal RNA". It matches the Rfam family "Bacterial small subunit ribosomal RNA", at positions 338 to 795 of the family's 1533-position model. The record is from RNAcentral.